UCCAUAUUCAUUCCUGGUAUGAUCACACUCAUCUUACGAGGUCCUUUAAAGCCCAGGACAUUUGUUUCAUAACAAAUAGCAGCUAGCUCCUGACGCAGGACACUCGCCUCCAGGCUUGAUGUUGUUUUCAUUGGAUUUACUCCAUUGUCAUAAACUGUAAACUUAGUUCCCAUAAGAUUUGAUCUCAGUUUUCCAAUAAAACUCUCUCCACCUCGAGACAGGUCAGUUGGGUCUAUGGAGAUGAGGUAAUUAGAGGUUUUAC
Molecule: long non-coding RNA, 262 nt
Filed under: Gallus gallus (chicken)
Lineage: Eukaryota; Metazoa; Chordata; Aves; Galliformes; Phasianidae
Source: RNAcentral